UUCGGGUCGUAAAGCUCUGUUGUUAGGGAAGAACAAGUACCGUUCGAAUAGGGCGGUACCUUGACGGUACCUAACCAGAAAGCCACGGCUAACUACGUGCCAGCAGCCGCGGUAAUACGUAGGUGGCAAGCGUUGUCCGGAAUUAUUGGGCGUAAAGCGCGCGCAGGCGGUCUUUUAAGUCUGAUGUGAAAGCCCACGGCUCAACCGUGGAGGGUCAUUGGAAACUGGAGGACUUGAGUGCAGAAGAGGAGAGUGGAAUUCCACGUGUAGCGGUGAAAUGCGUAGAUAUGUGGAGGAACACCAGUGGCGAAGGCGGCUCUCUGGUCUGUAACUGACGCUGAGGCGCGAAAGCGUGGGGAGCAAACAGGAUUAGAUACCCUGGUAGUCCACGCCGUAAACGAUGAGUGCUAGGUGUUGGGGGGUUCCACCCUCAGUGCUGAAGUUAACACAUUAAGCACUCCGCCUGGGGAGUACGACCGCAAGGUUGAAACUCAAAGGAAUUGACGGGGGCCCGCACAAGCAGUGGAGCAUGUGGUUUAAUUCGAAGCAACGCGAAGAACCUU
RNAcentral lists this ribosomal RNA (563 nucleotides) under Bacillus sp. UST020129-005. RNAcentral describes it as "bacterial SSU rRNA". It matches the Rfam family "Bacterial small subunit ribosomal RNA", at positions 417 to 972 of the family's 1533-position model. Lineage: Bacteria; Bacillati; Bacillota; Bacilli; Caryophanales; Bacillaceae. The record is from RNAcentral.